This 301-nucleotide ribosomal RNA is filed under the name uncultured bacterium. RNAcentral describes it as "partial 16S ribosomal RNA". It matches the Rfam family "Archaeal small subunit ribosomal RNA", at positions 459 to 759 of the family's 1478-position model. The record is from RNAcentral.
CAGUAGCCGCGGGAAUACCAGCAGCCCAAGUGGUGGUCGCGUUUAUUGGGCCUAAAGCGCUCGUAGCCUGACCGGUAAGUUCCCCGUGAAAUCGGGUCGCCCAACGAUUCGGCUUGCGGGGAAUACUGUCGGUCUUGGGGCCGGGAGACGCCGAGGGUACUCCGGGGGUAGCGGUGAAAUGCUGUAAUCCUCGGGGGACUACCAGUGGCGAAGGCGCUCGGCGAUAACGGGCCUGACGGUGAGGGGCGAAAGCUGGGGGCGCGAACGGGAUUAGAGACCCCGGUAGUCCCUGUCUCUUAUU